UACCAAGGCGAUGAUGCAUAGCCCGAGUUUGAGAGACUGAUCGGGCCACAUUGGGGACUGAGACACGGGCCCAAAACUCCUACGGGGAGGCAGCAGUAGGGAAUCUUCCACAAUGGACGCAAGUCUGAUGGAGCAACGCCGCGUGAGUGAAGUAAGGGUUUCGGCUACGUAAAAGCUCUGUUGUUGGUGAAGAAGACAGGGUAGUAACUGACCUUUGUUUGACGGUAAUCAAUUAGAAAGUCACGGCUAACUACGUGCCAGCAGCCGCGGUAAU
RNAcentral lists this ribosomal RNA (274 nucleotides) under uncultured Lactobacillus sp. RNAcentral describes it as "partial 16S ribosomal RNA". It matches the Rfam family "Bacterial small subunit ribosomal RNA", at positions 266 to 524 of the family's 1533-position model. Lineage: Bacteria; Bacillati; Bacillota; Bacilli; Lactobacillales; Lactobacillaceae. The record is from RNAcentral.